GAUGAACGCUAGCGGGAGGCUUAACACAUGCAAGUCGGGCGGCAGCACGGACUUCGGUCUGGUGGCGAGCGGCGCACGGGUGCGUAACGCGUAUGCAACCUGCCUUAUGCAGGGGGAUAGCCCAUGGAAACGUGGAUUAAUACCCCAUAAUAUUAGUAGAUCACAUGGUUUACGAAUUAAAAUUUUGGUGGCAUAAGAUGGGCAUGCGUCUGAUUAGCUAGUUGGUGAGGUAACGGCUCACCAAGGCGACGAUCAGUAGGGGUCCUGAGAGGGUUACCCCCCACACUGGUACUGAGACACGGACCAGACUCCUACGGGAGGCAGCAGUGAGGAAUAUUGGUCAAUGGGCGAGAGCCUGAACCAGCCAUUCCGCGUGCAGGAUGACGGCCCUAUGGGUUGUAAACUGCUUUUCUACGCCAAGAAACGGCGCGACGUGUCGCGAGUUGACGGUAGCGUAGGAAUAAGCAUCGGCUAACUCCGUGCCAGCAGCCGCGGUAAUACGGAGGAUGCAAGCGUUAUCCGGAUUUAUUGGGUUU
Molecule: ribosomal RNA, 536 nt
Filed under: uncultured Bacteroidota bacterium
Lineage: Bacteria; Pseudomonadati; Bacteroidota
Description: bacterial SSU rRNA
Rfam family: Bacterial small subunit ribosomal RNA
Source: RNAcentral